CGCCGUGACACGGGGUGUCCGCGACGCGCGGACUGAGAGCACACCCGUCGAACCUGAUCGAGCUCGAACUCGCGAAGGGAUGUCCCUCAUGACGCAC
Molecule: non-coding RNA, 97 nt
Filed under: Paraoerskovia marina
Lineage: Bacteria; Bacillati; Actinomycetota; Actinomycetes; Micrococcales; Cellulomonadaceae
Description: TPP sequence
Rfam family: TPP riboswitch aptamer (THI element)
About the family: Vitamin B(1) in its active form thiamin pyrophosphate (TPP) is an essential coenzyme that is synthesised by coupling of pyrimidine and thiazole moieties in bacteria. The previously detected thiamin-regulatory element, thi box was extended, resulting in a new, highly conserved RNA secondary structure, the THI element, which is widely distributed in eubacteria and also occurs in some archaea.
Source: Rfam by way of RNAcentral